UGCGUGACCAACCUGCCCCAUGCUUCGGAAUAGCUCCUGGAAACGGGUGGUAAUGCCGGAUGCUCCGCAUCAUCGCAUGAUGGUGUGGGAAAGGGUUUACCGGCAUGGGAUGGGGUCGCGUCCUAUCAGCUUGUUGGCGGGGUGAUGGCCUGCCAAGGCUUCGACGGGUAGCCGGCCUGAGAGGGCGACCGGCCACAUUGGGACUGAGAUACGGCCCAGACUCCUACGGGAGGCAGCAGUGGGGAAUAUUGCACAAUGGGCGAAAGCCUGAUGCAGCGACGCCGCGUGCGGGAUGACGGCCUUCGGGUUGUAAACCGCUUUUGAUUGGGAGCAAGCGAGAGUGAGUGUACCUUUCGAAUAAGCACCGGCUAACUACGUGCCAGCCG
This 386-nucleotide ribosomal RNA is filed under the name uncultured Bifidobacterium sp. RNAcentral describes it as "bacterial SSU rRNA". It matches the Rfam family "Bacterial small subunit ribosomal RNA", at positions 114 to 514 of the family's 1533-position model. The record is from RNAcentral. Lineage: Bacteria; Bacillati; Actinomycetota; Actinomycetes; Bifidobacteriales; Bifidobacteriaceae.